UUUAAGACAUCCUGAAGAGAGAAUCUUUUCAUGUUAAAUAACGGCAGAGAAGAAAACACGAAUCUGGUUAAGCACUAAAUAAACACUUAAAUUUGAUCGUUUUGAAACGUCGCGAUUUGAGUAAGAACAGCACUUCUGAUUAAUCAGCAUGUCUUCUGGUCUUCUCCUGGACGCUGUGGAGCAUCAAAACACUUGUUCACAGCCAAUGCACAAGGGUCACAGGGAGCUCGGGGCACAACGUGGGUCUGCCAACCCAUCUCAGGAGACAUUCACACACCCGUUCACACAUCACGGACAAUUUGGAAAUGCCGAUCAGCCUACAGUGCAUAUCUUUGGACUAGGGGAGGAAACCGGAGUGCCUGGAGGAGGCCCCGAAGCAUGGGGAGGGCACGCACACAGGACGGAGGCGGGACUCGAACCCCCAACCCUGGAGCUGCGAGGCAAACAUCACACCACCGUUAACCCCUCCUCCACCCAUACUAGUCUCAAAAGAGCUGCCCUACAGUUCAAACCCACCCUUUAUGGGAGAGUCUGCAGGAGGAAAGCUGUGCUUGCUUUGUUCAGGAAGUGAAAAAAAAGAAAAGAAAAGAAAAA
Molecule: long non-coding RNA, 594 nt
Organism: Ictalurus punctatus (channel catfish)
Lineage: Eukaryota; Metazoa; Chordata; Actinopteri; Siluriformes; Ictaluridae
Source: Ensembl